RNAcentral lists this ribosomal RNA (253 nucleotides) under uncultured bacterium. RNAcentral's name for it is "partial 16S ribosomal RNA". It matches the Rfam family "Bacterial small subunit ribosomal RNA", at positions 524 to 776 of the family's 1533-position model. The record is from RNAcentral.
UACGUAGGGUGCGAGCGUUAAUCGGAAUUACUGGGCGUAAAGCGUGCGCAGGCGGUUUGCUAAGACCGAUGUGAAAUCCCCGGGCUUAACCUGGGAACUGCAUUGGUGACUGGCAGGCUAGAGUAUGGCAGAGGGGGGUAGAAUUCCAUGUGUAGCAGUGAAAUGCGUAGAGAUGUGGAGGAAUACCGAUGGCGAAGGCAGCCCCCUGGGCCAAUACUGACGCUCAUGCACGAAAGCGUGGGGAGCAAACAGG